GUACUUUCUUUGGUAGCACAUGUACUAAAAUUAGAAUAAUAUAGAGAAGAUUAGCAUGUCCAUAGUGCAAAGACAACAUGCAAAUUUGUAAAACAUGCCAAUGUUUG
Molecule: non-coding RNA, 107 nt
Organism: Erinaceus europaeus (western European hedgehog)
Lineage: Eukaryota; Metazoa; Chordata; Mammalia; Eulipotyphla; Erinaceidae
Source: Rfam